Molecule: ribosomal RNA, 1444 nt
Filed under: metagenome
Description: bacterial SSU rRNA
Rfam family: Bacterial small subunit ribosomal RNA
Source: RNAcentral
AGAGUUUGAUCCUGGCUCAGGAUGAACGCUGGCGGUAUGCCUAACACAUGCAAGUCGAACGAAGUCUUCGGACUUAGUGGCGGACGGGUGAUUAACGCGUGAGAAUCUGCCUUCAGGAUGGGGACAACAGUUGGAAACGACUGCUAAUACCCGAUGUGCCGAAAGGUGAAAAUAUUUUGCCUGAAGAGGAGCUCGCGUCUGAUUAGCUAGUUGGUGGGGUAAAAGCUUACCAAGGCAACGAUCAGUAGCUGGUCUGAGAGGAUGAGCAGCCACACUGGGACUGAGACGCGGCCCAGACUCCUACGGGAGGCAGCAGUGGGGAAUUUUCCGCAAUGGGCGAAAGCCUGACGGAGCAAUACCGCGUGAGGGAGGAAGGCCUUUGGGUUGUAAACCUCUUUUCUCAGGGAAGAAGAUCUGACGGUACCUGAGGAAUAAGCAUCGGCUAACUCCGUGCCAGCAGCCGCGGUAAUACGGAGGAUGCAAGCGUUAUCCGGAAUUAUUGGGCGUAAAGCGUCCGCAGGUGGUUUUUCAAGUCUGCUGUCAAAGACCAGAGCUCAACUCUGGGCCGGCAGUGGAAACUGGGAAACUAGAGUUCGGUAGGGGUAGCGGGAAUUCCCAGUGUAGCGGUGAAAUGCGUAGAUAUUGGGAAGAACAUCGGUGGCGAAGGCGCGCUACUGGACCGAAACUGACACUCAGGGACGAAAGCUAGGGGAGCGAAAGGGAUUAGAUACCCCUGUAGUCCUAGCUGUAAACGAUGGAAACUAGGUGUGGCUUGUAUCGACCCGAGCCGUGCCGUAGCUAACGCGUUAAGUUUCCCGCCUGGGGAGUACGCACGCAAGUGUGAAACUCAAAGGAAUUGACGGGGGCCCGCACAAGCGGUGGAGUAUGUGGUUUAAUUCGAUGCAACGCGAAGAACCUUACCAGGGCUUGACAUGUCCGGAACUUCCCUGAAAGGGGGGGGUGCCUUCGGGAACCGGAACACAGGUGGUGCAUGGCUGUCGUCAGCUCGUGUCGUGAGAUGUUGGGUUAAGUCCCGCAACGAGCGCAACCCUCGUCUUUAGUUGCCAGCAUUAAGGUGGGCACUCUAGAGAGACUGCCGGUGACAAACCGGAGGAAGGUGGGGAUGACGUCAAGUCAGCAUGCCCCUUACGCCCUGGGCUACACACGUACUACAAUGGUUGGGACAAAGGGCAGCGACCCCGCGAGGGAGAGCGAAUCUCAUCAAACCCAGCCUCAGUUCAGAUUGCUCUCUGCAACUCGAGAGCAUGAAGGAGGAAUCGCUAGUAAUCGCAGGUCAGCAUACUGCGGUGAAUUCGUUCCCGGGCCUUGUACACACCGCCCGUCACACCAUGGAAGCUGGUCACGCCCGAAGUAGUUACCCUAACUUUCGAGAGGGGGACUCCGAAGGCAGGGCUAGUGACUGGGGUGAAGUCGGAACAAGGUA